This is a non-coding RNA of Puma concolor (puma), 733 nucleotides long. Lineage: Eukaryota; Metazoa; Chordata; Mammalia; Carnivora; Felidae. The record is from RefSeq and is a predicted model, not a curated record.
GGGUUCAUGACUCACCCCCUCCCUCGCAGCCAGCUUUUCCAGAGUCAGCUCCUGAGUCAGGACCACGCCCUUCCAGCCCUGAGGAUACAGACGGGGCUUCAUCCAGACUGGGCUUCAAAGCUUCGGCAGCGGUCCAGCAAAGAGCAGAAUGGCCCAAGUAGAAAAGUUUCGGUUCCAAGGACAUGCAGUGUAUUCACAUAAUUCAACCUGCGCGAAGGCCAGAGAAGAAUAACUGGGAGGUGAAACAAGAAGCUCUAUGACGCAGUUGAUCGAAAAUGACACAGACACAGAAAAGUCAGGACUCAGCCCCCUCCAGUGCCUCCACCUGCUGCCCACGGCCAGAGUGCAGGUGAAGGGUUUCCCCUGGGGCUUGAUCCUAACUAAACCCCGGAAGACGUUUGGAACUCUUUUUCCACACCUACUCUAAUCGUGGCCUGUUAAUGAUCACACUAAAAUCAUCAGUAACUUUGAGCUUCUACUGAAAACCUCUGUCUUCUCAGCUGCCUCCUUUUCUUCCCCCGCACCUCAGUCACCUUCGUUCCACGAGGUUUCUUGGGCUCAUACUGUUAUGGCAUGUUCUAGAAUUGAGUUGGAUGGGACCCACUCUGUCCCUCCCCCUUCCCAGCACUUACCAAUAUCAACAAUUAUGCUGUUUGUUCACUCAUUAAUUGGCCGUGUACCUCUCAACCUGCCUUCCAAAUUUCAGUUCAAUAAAGGAAGAUUCUAGUCUGUC